Molecule: long non-coding RNA, 976 nt
Filed under: Olea europaea subsp. europaea
Lineage: Eukaryota; Viridiplantae; Streptophyta; Magnoliopsida; Lamiales; Oleaceae
Source: RNAcentral
GUCCAAUAAGGCAAUUAAACCCAACCCUAACCCAGUAACCCUACCACAAAAAUUGGAAAAUUGGAAUCAACGUCUGGGUCUGCCGUCCGCCCGUCCCCAAUUUUUUCUUCUCCUUCAUGUUUCACACCAUGUAUUUCUCUCCUUCAGUCCAGACAUUCUCAUCCAUUACUUCUUCCAUUGGUGAGCUUCUCAUCUCCUCGUUCGAUAAUUUGUAUUUAUCUAUUUGAAUUUGUUGUUAUUUUUCGACAUCCUUUGAAAUGUGAUUUUGUGUUUUUGCUACAUUUUCUUCUCUCUCUUCAAUCUCAUUUUGUUCCUUCUUUAAUUGAAUGGUAAAAAAUGACAGCCAUGAAGGCCAUGUCUAAUACCCACAAAAAAGGCCAUGUCUGAUACCUGUAAUCGUAUCAAAGGAUUGUUCGUUUUAUAUGAAAACAGGGUCAUGUAAAUUCAGAUCAAGUUGCAAGUUUAAUCACCCUCCCAGAAGAAAGAAUUAGGUUUAUACAUAUCUAUAGAUGCCGUAAAUUAGCUUGUGCAUUAGUGUAAGAAUGUUUUUUGCAAAAGGAUUUUGACGGAGGGUACAUUUUUUUUUUUUUUUGGUUUAAAUUUUCGGUUAAGACCAUUAUUGAUUAUUACUCUACUUAUAUUUCUUAUAUACUAUGUAGGAAUCAGCUUUGAGUUUUGAAGUAUACUAGUAAGAGUUGUGGGGAAGAAUGAAGAUUGAAUAUGAAUUGAGGUUGGAGCUUUUAAGUUAUUGAAUAUGAAUCACGUUCGAUGCACAAGGAUCAAAGGACAAAGAUAUUGUUUAGUAUUGUUAUGUUGAUAAUAUUUUUUGUUAAAUUUGGAUUUUGAAUUUGAAAAUUGGGAUAUUGUUUACAUUUUCAUUUUUGAUGUUGUUUGCUACAUUAGUUUAGUAUUAUGUUUUUUUUUUUUUUUCAUUGACUUUUUUUUUUUGCAUAAAUUGUUUUUUUUUUAAUUUGAC